Molecule: ribosomal RNA, 497 nt
Filed under: uncultured bacterium
Lineage: Bacteria
Description: partial 16S ribosomal RNA
Rfam family: Bacterial small subunit ribosomal RNA
Source: RNAcentral
GAUGAACGCUGGCGGCGUGCCUAAUACUUGCAAGUCGAGCGAACAGACGAGGAGCUUGCUCCUCUGACGUUAGCGGCGGACGGGUGAGUAACACGUGGAUAACCUACCUAUAAGACUGGGAUAACUUCGGGAAACCGGAGCUAAUACCGGAUAAUAUAUUGAACCGCAUGGUUCAAUAGUGAAAGACGGUUUUGCUGUCACUUAUAGAUGGAUCCGCGCCGCAUUAGCUAGUUGGUAAGGUAACGGCUUACCAAGGCAACGAUGCGUAGCCGACCUGAGAGGGUGAUCGGCCACACUGGAACUGAGAUACGGUCCAGACUCCUACGGGAGGCAGCAGUAGGGAAUCUUCCGCAAUGGGCGAAAGCCUGACGGAGCAACGCCGCGUGAGUGAUGAAGGUCUUCGGAUCGUAAAACUCUGUUAUUAGGGAAGAACAAAUGUGUAAGUAACUAUGCACGUCUUGACGGUACCUAAUCAGAAAGCCACGGCUAACUACGUG